GGCCGGUUAGCUCAGUCAGUUGAGCGUGGCGCUAACAGCGCCAAGGUCGCGGGUUCGAUUCCCGCUCGGUCC
Transfer RNA from Apaloderma vittatum (bar-tailed trogon), 72 nucleotides. It matches the Rfam family "tRNA". Rfam says of the family: Transfer RNA (tRNA) molecules are approximately 80 nucleotides in length. Their secondary structure includes four short double-helical elements and three loops (D, anti-codon, and T loops). The record is from Rfam. NCBI's taxonomy places the organism in Eukaryota, Metazoa, Chordata, Aves, Trogoniformes, Trogonidae.